GCCAACAACAUUUCAUAAUCAUUUCUGCAGCAAGAAAAAGAAAUAAAGAUGCAUGGUAUAGCUCCUAUGCUCCAUAUUUUUCACAAAAAAUAAACUAAUUGCAAAAGAUAUUUUCUAAAACUUUUUCUAAGAAAAUAAUUUAUUUUCUAUUGUUUGGUUGCCAUGCAGAAAAUCAACUGGAAAUUAUUUGUUUGCAUUUGCAGUACAUUGGAGAAUAUGAAGUUUCUUUUAAUAUAUGACUAUGAAAAUGCUUAAACUUAAAUAAACUUCUUUUUUUUUUAAUUUAUUAAUAAAUUAACAACAACAACAAUGUAUAAAAAACUCCGCAUCAAUAUAGCAUAAGGAUCCAUAUUAUGAGAAA
RNAcentral lists this unclassified non-coding RNA (361 nucleotides) under Hevea brasiliensis (rubber tree). The record is from RNAcentral. Lineage: Eukaryota; Viridiplantae; Streptophyta; Magnoliopsida; Malpighiales; Euphorbiaceae.